GGGUUGUGAGGUUAAGCGACUAAGCGUACACGGUGGAUGCCCUGGCAGUCAGAGGCGAUGAAGGACGUGCUAAUCUGCGAAAAGCGUCGGUAAGGUGAUAUGAACCGUUAUAGCCGGCGAUGUCCGAAUGGGGAAACCCAGUGCAAUUCGUUGCACUAUCGUUUGAUGAAUACAUAGUCAAACGAGGCGAACCGGGGGAACUGAAACAUCUAAGUACCCCGAGGAAAAGAAAUCAACCGAGAUUCCCCCAGUAGCGGCGAGCGAACGGGGAGCAGCCCGGAGUCUGAAUCAGCUUGUGUGUUAGUGGAAGCGUCUGGAAAGUCGCAGGGUACAGGGUGAUACUCCCGUACACUAAAACACACAGGUUGUGAACUCGAAGAGUAGGGCGGGACACGUGGUAUCCUGUCUGAAUAUGGGGGGACCAUCCUCCAAGGCUAAAUACUCCUGACUGACCGAUAGUGAACCAGUACCGUGAGGGAAAGGCGAAAAGAACCCCGGCGAGGGGAGUGAAAAAGAACCUGAAACCGUGUACGUACAAGCAGUAGGAGCCUCUUUAUGGGGUGACUGCGUACCUUUUGUAUAAUGGGUCAGCGACUUAUAUUCUGUAGCAAGGUUAACCGUAUAGGGGAGCCGCAGGGAAACCGAGUCUUAACUGGGCGUUAAGUUGCAGGGUAUAGACCCGAAACCCGGUGAUCUAGCCAUGGGCAGGUUGAAGGUUGGGUAACACUAACUGGAGGACCGAACCGACUAAUGUUGAAAAAUUAGCGGAUGACUUGUGGCUGGGGGUGAAAGGCCAAUCAAACCGGGAGAUAGCUGGUUCUCCCCGAAAGCUAUUUAGGUAGCGCCUCGUGAACUCAUCUUCGGGGGUAGAGCACUGUUUCGGCUAGGGGGUCAUCCCGACUUACCAACCCGAUGCAAACUACGAAUACCGAAGAAUGUUAUCACGGGAGACACACGGCGGGUGCUAACGUCCGUCGUGAAGAGGGAAACAACCCAGACCGCCAGCUAAGGUCCCAAAGUCAUGGUUAAGUGGGAAACGAUGUGGGAAGGCCCAGACAGCCAGGAUGUUGGCUUAGAAGCAGCCAUCAUUUAAAGAAAGCGUAAUAGCUCACUGGUCGAGUCGGCCUGCGCGGAAGAUGUAACGGGGCUAAACCAUGCACCGAAGCUGCGGCAGCGACACUAUGUGUUGUUGGGUAGGGGAGCGUUCUGUAAGCCGUUGAAGGUGGCCUGUGAGGGUUGCUGGAGGUAUCAGAAGUGCGAAUGCUGACAUAAGUAACGAUAAUGCGGGUGAAAAACCCGCACGCCGGAAGACCAAGGGUUCCUGUCCAACGUUAAUCGGGGCAGGGUGAGUCGACCCCUAAGGCGAGGCCGAAAGGCGUAGUCGAUGGGAAACAGGUUAAUAUUCCUGUACUCGGUGUUACUGCGAAGGGGGGACGGAGAAGGCUAUGUUGGCCGGGCGACGGUUGUCCCGGUUUAAGCAUGUAGGCGGAUGUUCCAGGUAAAUCCGGAACGUUACUAACGCUGAGGUGUGAUGACGAGGCACUACGGUGCUGAAGUGACAAAUGCCCUGCUUCCAGGAAAAGCCUCUAAGCAUCAGGUAACAUCAAAUCGUACCCCAAACCGACACAGGUGGUCAGGUAGAGAAUACCAAGGCGCUUGAGAGAACUCGGGUGAAGGAACUAGGCAAAAUGGUGCCGUAACUUCGGGAGAAGGCACGCUGAUAUGUAGGUGAAGUGGUUUACCCAUGGAGCUGAAAUCAGUCGAAGAUACCAGCUGGCUGCAACUGUUUAUUAAAAACACAGCACUGUGCAAACACGAAAGUGGACGUAUACGGUGUGACGCCUGCCCGGUGCCGGAAGGUUAAUUGAUGGGGUUAUCCGUAAGGAGAAGCUCUUGAUCGAAGCCCCGGUAAACGGCGGCCGUAACUAUAACGGUCCUAAGGUAGCGAAAUUCCUUGUCGGGUAAGUUCCGACCUGCACGAAUGGCGUAAUGAUGGCCAGGCUGUCUCCACCCGAGACUCAGUGAAAUUGAACUCGCUGUGAAGAUGCAGUGUACCCGCGGCAAGACGGAAAGACCCCGUGAACCUUUACUAUAGCUUGACACUGAACACUGGUCCUUGAUGUGUAGGAUAGGUGGGAGGCUUUGAAGUGUGGACGCCAGUCUGCAUGGAGCCAUCCUUGAAAUACCACCCUUUAAUGGCUGGUGUUCUAACGUGGGCCCCUAAUCGGGGUUGCGGACAGUGUCUGGUGGGUAGUUUGACUGGGGCGGUCUCCUCCUAAAGAGUAACGGAGGAGCACGAAGGUCAGCUAAUCCUGGUCGGACAUCAGGAGGUUAGUGCAAUGGCAUAAGCUGGCUUGACUGCGAGCGUGACGGCGCGAGCAGGUGCGAAAGCAGGUCAUAGUGAUCCGGUGGUUCUGAAUGGAAGGGCCAUCGCUCAACGGAUAAAAGGUACUCCGGGGAUAACAGGCUGAUACCGCCCAAGAGUUCAUAUCGACGGCGGUGUUUGGCACCUCGAUGUCGGCUCAUCACAUCCUGGGGCUGAAGUAGGUCCCAAGGGUAUGGCUGUUCGCCAUUUAAAGUGGUACGCGAGCUGGGUUUAGAACGUCGUGAGACAGUUCGGUCCCUAUCUGCCGUGGGCGCUGGAGAAUUGAGGGGGGCUGCUCCUAGUACGAGAGGACCGGAGUGGACGCAUCACUGGUGUUCGGGUUGUCAUGCCAAUGGCAUUGCCCGGUAGCUAAAUGCGGAAGAGAUAAGUGCUGAAAGCAUCUAAGCACGAAACUUGCCCCGAGAUGAGUUCUCCCUGACUCCUUGAGAGUCCUGAAGGAACGUUGAAGACGACGACGUUGAUAGGCCGGGUGUGUAAGCGCAGCGAUGCGUUGAGCUAACCGGUACUAAUGAACCGUGAGGCUUAACCUUACAACGCCGAAG
RNAcentral lists this ribosomal RNA (2928 nucleotides) under Klebsiella oxytoca. RNAcentral describes it as "23S ribosomal RNA". It matches the Rfam family "Bacterial large subunit ribosomal RNA". RNAcentral also lists the same sequence under 1 other name. Lineage: Bacteria; Pseudomonadati; Pseudomonadota; Gammaproteobacteria; Enterobacterales; Enterobacteriaceae. The record is from RNAcentral.